This 301-nucleotide ribosomal RNA is filed under the name uncultured bacterium. RNAcentral's name for it is "partial 16S ribosomal RNA". It matches the Rfam family "Bacterial small subunit ribosomal RNA", at positions 509 to 807 of the family's 1533-position model. The record is from RNAcentral.
CAGCAGCCGCGGUAAUACGUAGGUGGCAAGCGUUGUCCGGAAUUAUUGGGCGUAAAGGGCUCGCAGGCGGUUUCUUAAGUCUGAUGUGAAAGCCCCCGGCUCAACCGGGGAGGGUCAUUGGAAACUGGGAAACUUGAGUGCAGAAGAGGAAAGUGGAACUCCAUGUGUAGCGGUGAAAUGCGCAGAGAUAUGGAGGAACACCAGUGGCGAAGGCGACUUUCUGGUCUGUAACUGACGCUGAUGUGCGAAAGCGUGGGGAUCAAACAGGAUUAGAUACCCGUGUAGUCCCUGUCUCUUAUAC